Molecule: long non-coding RNA, 259 nt
Filed under: Lathyrus oleraceus (garden pea)
Lineage: Eukaryota; Viridiplantae; Streptophyta; Magnoliopsida; Fabales; Fabaceae
Description: Pisum sativum (pea) long non-coding RNA (PSAT_LNC021803)
Source: RNAcentral
UAAUCUCAUACGCGAGAUCAUAAUACGGAAGAAAUAUCCUAUCAAUGUAUUGAAAUUUUGGCGGCAUAACGACACAAAAGUCGAAUCCAUAGAUUUAAUCCAAUUUAACGCAAUGGAAUCAAAUAGAAACAAUAGUAUUAUAUUUAAAAUAUUUGUAACAUAUGAGGGUGUCAUGACUAACAAGCCUAAUGCACAUAAUAAAACCCAAUAUUUAUCCUAAAUUCAAUUUUCUAAUAAUAAUAAUAAUAAAUAAACAAAA